GACGGUCUUGCUGUCACUUAUAGAUGGAUCCGCGCUGCAUUAGCUAGUUGGUAAGGUAACGGCUUACCAAGGCAACGAUGCAUAGCCGACCUGAGAGGGUGAUCGGCCACACUGGAACUGAGACACGGUCCAGACUCCUACGGGAGGCAGCAGUAGGGAAUCUUCCGCAAUGGGCGAAAGCCUGACGGAGCAACGCCGCGUGAGUGAUGAAGGUCUUCGGAUCGUAAAACUCUGUUAUUAGGGAAGAACAUAUGUGUAAGUAACUGUGCACAUCUUGACGGUACCUAAUCAGAAAGCCACGGCUAACUACGUGCCAGCAGCCGCGGUAAUACGUAGGUGGCAAGCGUUAUCCGGAAUUAUUGGGCGUAAAGCGCGCGUAGGCGGUUUUUUAAGUCUGAUGUGAAAGCCCACGGCUCAACCGUGGAGGGUCAUUGGAAACUGGAAAACUUGAGUGCAGAAGAGGAAAGUGGAAUUCCAUGUGUAGCGGUGAAAUGCGCAGAGAUAUGGAGGAACACCAGUGGCGAAGGCGACUUUCUGGUCUGUAACUGACGCUGAUGUGCGAAAGCGUGGGGAUCAAACAGGAUUAGAUACCCUGGUAGUCCACGCCGUAAACGAUGAGUGCUAAGUGUUAGGGGGUUUCCGCCCCUUAGUGCUGCAGCUAACGCAUUAAG
This 671-nucleotide ribosomal RNA is filed under the name Staphylococcus aureus. RNAcentral's name for it is "bacterial SSU rRNA". It matches the Rfam family "Bacterial small subunit ribosomal RNA", at positions 202 to 864 of the family's 1533-position model. Lineage: Bacteria; Bacillati; Bacillota; Bacilli; Caryophanales; Staphylococcaceae. The record is from RNAcentral.